GAUGAACGCUGGCGGCGUGCCUAAUACAUGCAAGUCGAGCGAACAGACGAGGAGCUUGCUCCUCUGACGUUAGCGGCGGACGGGUGAGUAACACGUGGAUAACCUACCUAUAAGACUGGGAUAACUUCGGGAAACCGGAGCUAAUACCGGAUAAUAUAUUGAACCGCAUGGUUCAAUAGUGAAGGACGGUUUUGCUGUCACUUAUAGAUGGAUCCGCGCCGCAUUAGCUAGUUGGUAAGGUAACGGCUUACCAAGGCAACGAUGCGUAGCCGACCUGAGAGGGUGAUCGGCCACACUGGAACUGAGACACGGUCCAGACUCCUACGGGAGGCAGCAGUAGGGAAUCUUCCGCAAUGGGCGAAAGCCUGACGGAGCAACGCCGCGUGAGUGAUGAAGGUCUUCGGAUCGUAAAACUCUGUUAUUAGGGAAGAACAAAUGUGUAAGUAACUAUGCACGUCUUGACGGUACCUAAUCAGAAAGCCACGGCUAACUACGAG
RNAcentral lists this ribosomal RNA (497 nucleotides) under uncultured bacterium. RNAcentral's name for it is "partial 16S ribosomal RNA". It matches the Rfam family "Bacterial small subunit ribosomal RNA", at positions 28 to 507 of the family's 1533-position model. The record is from RNAcentral.